UAAAUAAGUAUACCUAUGUGGUAGGUUGAGCUUUACUUCAAUAUCUUUUAGCAAGAAUAUUGUUUGGUGUUAUAUGUAUAAAUAUGAAUGCAUGAGUUCAGUAUGAGUAUAUAUGAGGAUAUUGAUUUAGUUUUUAUAACUGUUUUUACAGUGUGGUUAGUACGUUCUUAUACUAUUUUCUAAAACUUUGUUUUUGGUCUGCUCACAUUUUCAAUGUUUUGUGCCCCCAGGCAGUAGGCGUGCACAGUGAUCCACCACAUGGUCUUUUUCCAUUUUCCGCGCUUCCCCCUUCCUGAUGUAGGACUCUUCUUAAUUGAGUUGACUCUUUUUGUAAAUUCUUAGUGGUUGCUUUGAUAACCUAC
This 362-nucleotide long non-coding RNA is filed under the name Prunus persica (peach). Its description in RNAcentral is "long non-coding RNA (PPER_LNC007960)". Lineage: Eukaryota; Viridiplantae; Streptophyta; Magnoliopsida; Rosales; Rosaceae. The record is from RNAcentral.